AACCUUUCAAACCUUUGAACUUUCUGAAAAAGCAACCUUUCUGCUUUCAACCCCAUUUCCGCCACUUGAACCACCAUGCCGACAUCCUCUCCGGUCGAAAACAGGACCACCGUUCAAGCUUUGUCCUCUAGCACUUCAACCCACAGCGGAUAAAUGAAAUGAGAAUGGUUUUUGUUUUUUUACAGUGACAUCAACGUACAUGUAUAUCCAUGUAAAGAAAAUGGAGACUGGCAAAAAAUCAAACAACAUCCUUGAGCCUCUGAAACAACAAGUCGUCGCCAUUGCUUGAGACCUUUCAGGUAAUUAUUAUUUUUUUAAUUCCGAUGUUAAUUUUUGAGUUACUUAUUGGGAAGUGCUGAUAAUUUUUUUUUGCCUAUUUUUAAUUAUCUAAUAACUUAAAGUUCCAUUGAUUUGUUAACCUAAAUUUUCUUUAUCUUGAACUUUUAAUUGAUUAGAAUAGGUAACUUUUUUUGUUUUUAAUUUAUUUUCACCUCAGAAAUUUACUAUAUUUUGAUGCAGUGUCGAACAAUAAAUCAAUAAUUCUUUUGGCUGAAGUAAAAUCUGUACAAAAUUUAACCAUUUUUAUUGAUGCGAUGGGCUGGAAAAGAGAGGAUUUUCUUACAAAGUGAAAGGGCUUGGAAGGUUCUUUUUCUAAGAUUUUAUGAAAUUUUAAUUUUUUUACAUAAUUACUCAUUAUAUAUUUUGAUCACUAUUUUUAGUUUCUUUUCAAUCUAUAAAUAAGAGGACAAUGGACUUCAAUAUACUCAAACUCACAUCAUCCUGCAUUGACAACAAUAGUCACACCAAUUAAGUUAAAACUUAAGACCAAUUUAACAUUGAUGAAAGUAUUGUUAAACAAAAUACUUUUAAGCUUUUCAAAAGUACUUUUGGGAUAAAAUUAGCCCAAAAACACUUUCAAGAAGUAAGAUUGAGCUAAACCUCAAUCAACAUACAUAAUUAUAGUUUUAAAAAUAUUUUUAAUAAUUUAAAAAAAUUAAAAUAGCAAAAUUUCUGAAAUUUUUAAAGAACUUUUUGAUAUUUCAAUAUUUUUAUAAUUUUUGAAUUUUAACCUAACUCAAUUUUUUUUAAUUUUUUAAGACUACGAUUUUAUUAAUUUUCACAUAAUUAUAAUUUUAAAUUUUUAUAGAAAUUUUUUUAUUUUUAAAGAAUUUUUUUGCUAAUCAUUUUUUUGCUUGCAUUAAAAUAAAAUAUAAUCAUCAAAUUAUAUUAUUUAACAUAAUUAAUAAUUAAUAAUUUUAUAUUUGUAUAUAAACAACCAGUACCAAAGUUAUCAGCACUGUAUCGAUUGUUAUACCAAUUUUAAUAGGUACUGCUAUAUACAAAUAUUUGUUUUUAGAUUUAUUAGUGUUUUUAAUUUUUUUCCUAUACUUAUAGCCUAAUUUUUAGUUUUUUUUAAACAAAAUAUACAUUAAAUACAAGCAAAUAUAUCUCAUUUACAUAUCUAAAAAAAUGUUUAUAUAAAAACAUAAAAUUUAAAAUUAUUAAGUAAGUUAAAUAAUUUAAUUUUAAUGAUUAUAUUUUAUUCUUAAUGUAACUAGAAAAUAAAAAUAAUUAAGAGAAAUAUAGAAAUCUUGUACUAGUUGUUCAUAUACGAAAUUUUUAUAUUUUUAAACUAAUUUUUAAUAUUUUCAAUUUUUGUAACUUCAAUAAAAAAUAAAUAUAAUCAUUAAAUUAAGUUAUUUAACUCAAUUAUUAAUUAUUAAUUUUAUGUUUGUAUAUAAAUAUAUUUUACAUAUGUAAUUGAGAUCCAUUGCAUUUAUAUUAAUAUAUAUUUUAGAAUAAAAGAUCAUUCCUAUUUAAUUACUCAAAAAUCUAUUUUUAAUUUAUCGUUAAUCAAAUUGUUCACUUCACCCCUUUUUCUAAAUUUUUUUAAAAAUGUGUAUAUAUAUUCUCCCCUACUGAUUUAGUUUUUCCUGAAAUGAACUGAAAAAUCUCAAAAUCAUAAGCCAAUGUUCAAAGUUUUCUUAGUCCAAUCUCGGUGGUUGACUAUCCAACCGUAUUGAGAAAUCAAUCGUAACACCAUUCAAGGAAACUCCUCACCGUUGGGAUCUUACAGUACAUGCUCUGAGUUUCAAGAAUCAAGGAAAACCCUAAACCUAUUUACCCUCUCUCUCUCUCUCUUUUGUUUUUCGUUUUUUCUUCUUCGAUUUUCUAAUUUUCUCCUUAUUUUACAAGUUGUGCUAAAAUCCAGUUGCAGGGUUUUUGGGUUCGUGAGUUGUUAUUGAUUUGAGUUUGGGGUAUUGUGGAUUUGGUUUAGGUUAGGAUUUGGCAAGGAUCGACGCAAAGAGUUCAGCAACAACUAGGUCAAGUAAGGAAGAAGAUGAGGAAAAAGAUAAGAAAGAAAAAAGUGAACGAAAAAAAAGAAAAACUAAAAAGGAAGUGGAAAAUAUGUGAAAAUGUAUGGUCACAUUUAACAACGGAGUGGUGAGUUUGACAAUAAAAAGUUUUAAAAAAAUAAAAUGGGAUACAUGAUAUUUUUUAAAAUUUCACGAGUUAAAAAUCUCCCCUAUUAACGUACUAGAUAAAUGUUUCUUUUUAAUAAAAUCCUGUGGAA
RNAcentral lists this long non-coding RNA (2575 nucleotides) under Gossypium barbadense (sea-island cotton). RNAcentral's name for it is "long non-coding RNA (GBAR_LNC019198)". Lineage: Eukaryota; Viridiplantae; Streptophyta; Magnoliopsida; Malvales; Malvaceae. The record is from RNAcentral.